AUUUUGGGGUUCAGGGUCACUUUUGGGGUCCCAGGGUUAUUUUGGGGGUCUCAGGAUCAUUUUGGGGCAGUUCAGGGUUAUUUUGGGGUGGCUCAGGGUCAGUUUUGGGGUCCCAGGGUUAUUUUGGGGUGGCUCAGGGUCAGUUUUGGGGUGCUCAGGAUUAUUUUGGGGUGGCUCAGGAUCAUUUUGGGGUCCCAGGGUUAUUUUGGGGUGCUCAGGGAUGAUUUUGGGGUGAAUUUGCGUUGAUUUGGGGUCGGCCCGAGGCCGCAGCCGCGGCUGAGAGAGACCUGGGGGGGGAGGGGCUUUUGGGGUCAUUUUGGGUCAUUUUGGGUCAUUUUGGGUCCUUUUGGGUUACUUUGGGUCAUUUUGGGUCAUUUUGGGUCCUUUUGAGCCCUUUUGGGUCCUUUUAGGUCCUUUUGGGUCAUUUUGGGCCCUUUUAGGUCAUUUUGGGUCACUUUGGUUCCUUUUGGGACCUUUUGGGUCAUUUUGGGGCCACUUUGGGUCACUUUGGGGCCACUUUGGGCCCUUUUUGGUCCCUUUUGGGGCCAUUUAGGGUCAUUUGGGGUCCUUUGGGACAUUUUGGGGCCAUUUUCGGGGUAUUUGAGGGAUAUUUCAGGGACAUUUUUGGGAUAUUUGGGGCCAUUUUGGGGCCAUUUUUGGGGACAUUUCAGGGACAUUUGGGGACAUUUUUGGGGUUACUUCAGGGAUAUUUUGGGGCAGUUUUGGGACAUUUCAGGGGCAUUUUCGGGAGGUUUCAGGGCAUUUUUUGGGGAUAUUUGGGACCAUUUUUGGGGCCAUUUCGGGGCAGGUUUUGGGCCAUUUUUGGGCAGUUUUGGGGACAUUUCAGGGUCACUUGGGGCGAUUUUUGGGGACAUUUCAGGGAUAUUUCAGGGUCAUUCGGGGUCGGUUUUUGGGGCAGUUUUUGGGACAUUUCAGGGCCGUUUUUGGGGCAGUUUUUGGGACAUUUCAGGGCGGUUUUUGGGGCAGUUUCUGGGACAUUUCAGGGCAGUUUUGGGGACAUUUCAGGGACAUUUCAGGGCGGUUUUUGGGGACAUUUCAGGGCGGUUUUGGGGGACAUUUCAGGGCGGUUUUUGGAGACAUUUCAGGGACAUUUCAGGGUCACUCGGGGUCGGUUUUUGGGGCAGUUCCUGGGAUAUUUCAGGGACAUUUCAGGUCGGUUUUUGGGGACAUUCCAGGGACAUUUCAGGGCCGUUUUUGGGGACAUUUCAGGGAUAUUUCAGGUCGGUUUUUGGGGACAUUUCAGGUCCAUUUCAGGGCAGUUUUUGGGGACAUUUCAGGGACAUUUCAGGGCCGUUUUUGGGGACAUUUCAGGGCAGUUUUUGGGACAUUCCAGGGACAUUUCAGGGCCGUUUUUGGGGACAUUUCAGGUCCAUUCCAGGGAUAUUUCAGGUUGGUUUUUGGGGACAUUUCAGGUCCAUUUCAGGGCCAUUUUUGGGGACAUUUCAGGUCGGUUUUUGGGGACAUUCCAGGUCCAUUCCAGGGACAUUUCAGGGAUAUUUCAGGGUGUUUUUUGGGGACAUUUCAGGAACAUUUCAGGGACAUUUCAGGGCCAUUUUUGGGGCCAUUUCAGGGACAUUUCAGGGCAGUUUUUGGGACAUUUCAGGGUGUUUUUUGGGGACAUUUCAGGGACAUUCCAGGGAUAUUUCAGGGCAGUUUUUGGGACAUUCCAGGGACAUUCCAGGGCAGUUUUUGGGGACAUUUCAGGGUCACUCGGGGUCGGUUUUUGGGGCAGUUCCUGGGAUAUUUCAGGUCCAUUCCAGGGGUAUUCCAGGGAUAUUUCAGGGCAGUUUUUGGGGACAUUUCAGGGACAUUCCAGGGCAGUUUUUGGGGACAUUUCAGGUCCAUUCCAGGGGUAUUCCAGGGAUAUUCC
This is a long non-coding RNA of Cyanistes caeruleus (blue tit), 1891 nucleotides long. Lineage: Eukaryota; Metazoa; Chordata; Aves; Passeriformes; Paridae. The record is from Ensembl.